GUACAGCCACAUAGAAACCUCUAUAAUAUAUUUUACACUUUAAGCAAUAGGUUUCAUUUAUCCUCUCUAUAUCUGUAUUAUGUCUUUUAGGAGGAGAACAGGGGCGACUGCUGAGCAGCAGUGCUAUGCAGGAUUUUUACCAAGCAGAUUCAGAAAAUAAAAAUAAAUAAACACACGGCAAAAUUUAGAGAAUUUAACAGCUAAUACAUUUAUAUUUUUUUAAAUCAUAUAUAUAUAUAUAUAUAUAUAUUAUAAUUUUUCGACGAUCCGAAUCCUCUUCGGCCACACUAGCUCCAUUCACCAGCGGCCCCGAGAUCUUCCAAACAGGAAACAAGCAAUGGCUACGAUCAAUACAAAUAAGAGCAAAGGCAACGAUAUCACUAUUACAUGCAUCUUCUUCUCUAUUAUUGCAAUUUCUGCUUUUCUCUCUUUACAAGUAGUGGUGCGAUUCCUCUACUCCUGCAUUGACACGAAAACAUAUAUAUUUUUUCAAGAAACAAGUGCUACUAAUUAGUAUUAUUGAUUUUUUAUUGAAG
RNAcentral lists this long non-coding RNA (536 nucleotides) under Nicotiana benthamiana. Its description in RNAcentral is "long non-coding RNA (NBEN_LNC036105)". Lineage: Eukaryota; Viridiplantae; Streptophyta; Magnoliopsida; Solanales; Solanaceae. The record is from RNAcentral.